RNAcentral lists this unclassified non-coding RNA (426 nucleotides) under Brasilonema mombasense KEN-MK50. RNAcentral's name for it is "16S-23S ribosomal RNA intergenic spacer". The record is from RNAcentral. Lineage: Bacteria; Bacillati; Cyanobacteriota; Cyanophyceae; Nostocales; Scytonemataceae.
UUUAGGGAGACCCAAUCAAGUAAAAAGAACCAAGUAAAAAGUAAAAAAGAAAGAGAAAGAAUCUUUUAACUUUUGACUUUUAACUUUUAACUUGAUUUAUCCCGAGGUCGAUCAUUAGUCAACAGUGCAAGCUUUCAAACUAUUUUUGGUUCACCUCAAUUGUAUAACAUAAAGUUACAAUGAAAAUUAAUUUAUUAGCUCUGAAGAACAGACUAAGUUUAUUAAUAUUUCAAGUAAUUAUUAUACUUUAUGCUGAUAAACAGUAUGUAAAGGAAGAAAGUUUCAGCAUCUUGUGAGCCAAAGCAAGAAUGCUGGGGUAUUUCCAGCAAAAGAACCUUGAAAACUGCAUAGAAACGCGAAAUAUGUCAGGUAGUUAACUAUCAACAAUAGUUAACACUUCCAUAAAAAGCAGCAAUGAUUGUUUGU